GAUUUCAACUAAAAAAGUCAUCAACAAAAAAGUUGUAUAACUCAUCAAGAUCUAUAAUUUUUAUUUUUGUCAUUUCUUCAUCAGACAAAGUGAUAGUAACAUUGUUCAGAAAAUUCACAUAUCUCUCAUCUGGUUUAUAAACUAUAACAAAGAUAUGUAAUUUUUUUUGAACAAUGUUACUAACACUUUGUCAGAUGAAGAAAUGGCAAAAAUAAAAGUUAUAGAUCUUGAUGAGUUAUACAAUUUUGUUGUUGAUGACUUUUUUAGUUGAAAUC
Molecule: non-coding RNA, 275 nt
Organism: Oryza glumipatula
Lineage: Eukaryota; Viridiplantae; Streptophyta; Magnoliopsida; Poales; Poaceae
Source: Rfam